UACGUAGGGUGCAAGCGCUGUCCGGAAUUAUUGGGCGUAAAGAGCUCGUAGGCGGUUCGUCGCGUCGGCUGUGAAAACCCGGAGCUCAACUCCGGGCCUGCAGUCGAUACGGGCGGACUUGAGUGUUGCAGGGGAGACUGGAAUUCCUGGUGUAGCGGUGAAAUGCGCAGAUAUCAGGAGGAACACCGGUGGCGAAGGCGGGUCUCCGGGCAACUACUGACGCUGAGGAGCGAAAGCGUGGGGAGCGAACAGG
This 253-nucleotide ribosomal RNA is filed under the name uncultured bacterium. RNAcentral's name for it is "partial 16S ribosomal RNA". It matches the Rfam family "Bacterial small subunit ribosomal RNA", at positions 524 to 776 of the family's 1533-position model. The record is from RNAcentral.